This 400-nucleotide long non-coding RNA is filed under the name Hordeum vulgare. Its description in RNAcentral is "long non-coding RNA (HVUL_LNC019487)". The record is from RNAcentral. Lineage: Eukaryota; Viridiplantae; Streptophyta; Magnoliopsida; Poales; Poaceae.
CUUCAAAUCAGUAAAGGUAUAUACUGUUCUAAACUUGUAAAUAUAUUGCUGCCUCCAAACACAUAUGCCAUAUGCCUAUCCAUGGACAAGAUCACAAGCCAGAGAACUUUCAGCAGCUGUGUCUUAUUAUUCACAUAUGGCCCAGAUGCUACACAACUUACACAAAGAAGGGGAUAAGCUGUGUAUGAACUUUCCUGCUCUGCAACUCUUGAUCUUUUGUUGUUAGUUUAUGUUUCCUAUAUUUUGAAGGCUGGCCGUUAACCACUGGUCCAUGUUGUUCAUUGCUACUACAUAAAUGGCAUUGGGUCUGCACUGAUGUGGUCCUUAGUUCCUUACCAAAGGCAUGACCAUGAGAGUUCUCAUUGGUGGGGUCUUUGUGCCAAAUGAUUCCAUAUGUAUC